Chlorobium limicola DSM 245 is the source of this 75-nucleotide non-coding RNA. The record is from Rfam. Lineage: Bacteria; Pseudomonadati; Chlorobiota; Chlorobiia; Chlorobiales; Chlorobiaceae.
UUGUUAGGCCAACAGUUGGUCUGAAAGCUUUCAAGUGAUUUGUGCUUUUGGUUAUUUGACAGCCUUUCUCUUUUU